CGGUAACUCCAGCUCCAAUAGCGUAUACUAAAGUUGUUGCAGUUAAAAAGCUCGUAGUUGGAUUUCUGCGGGGACGGAGCGGCCGGACGCAACUUGCGUCUCGAGCUAGCGCUUUCCCCGCAUCCUGCCGCGAACCGUGCUACCAUUCGUUUGGUGGCGUCUGGGGACCGGCUCGUUUACUUUGAGAAAAAUAGAGUGUUCAAAGCAGGCCUGAUGCCUUGAAUAAUGUAGCAUGGAAUAAUGAUAAAGGACUUUGGUUCUAUUUUGUUGGUGUUCGGGACCGAAGUAAUGAUUGAUAGGGACAGUUGGGGGCGUCUGUAUCCUGAAGCGAGAGGUGAAAUUCUUAGACCUUCGGAAGACAAACAGCUGCGAAAGCGUUCGCCAAGGAUGUUCCCUUUGAUCAAGAACGAAAGUUGGGGGAUCGAAGACGAUCAGAUACCGUCGUAGUCUCAACUAUAAACUAUACCAGCUAGGGAUCGGCCAACGUUGAUAUCAAAAGACUUGGUCGGCACCUUAUGAGAAAUCAAAGCAUCUGGGUUCCGGGGGGAGUAUGGUCGCAAGGCUGAAACUUAAAGGAAUUGACGGAAGGGCACCACCAGGCGUGGAGCCUGUGGCUUAAUUUGACUCAACACGGGAAAACUUACCAGGUCCAGACAUAGGAAGGAUUGACAGAUUGAUAGCUCUUUCUUGAUUCUGUGGGUGGUGGUGCAUGGCCGUUUUUAGUCGGUGAAGUGAUUUGUCUGCUUAAUUGCGUUAACGGACGAGACCCCAGCCUGCUAAAUAGCGCGGCCGAGCUUUGCUCGGUGCGAGCUUCUUAGAGGGACCAUGAUGCGCGAUAGCACAAGGAAGUUUGGGGCAACAACAGGUCUGUGAUGCCCUUAGACGUUCUGGGCCGCACACGGGCUACACUGGCGCCUGCAACGAGCAUAUCAGCUGGCCCGAGAGGGUCUUGGCUAAUCUUUGGAACCGGCGCCGUGCUUGGGAUUGACCAUUGCAAUUGUUGGUCAUGCAACGAGGAAUGCCUUGUAAACGCGAGUCAUCAGCUCGCAUUGAAUACGUCCCUGCCCUUUGUACACACCGCCCGUCGCUCCUACCGAUGAAUGUUCCGAUGAAAUUUUCGGAGAGCGCCAGAGAACGGGGCUCUGCCUUGCAGAUCUGGAGGCUCAAAGUCACUUAAAUCUGAACAUUUCGAGGAAGGAGAAGUCGUAACAAGGUAACC
Molecule: ribosomal RNA, 1219 nt
Filed under: uncultured Rhizaria
Lineage: Eukaryota
Description: SSU rRNA
Rfam family: Eukaryotic small subunit ribosomal RNA
Source: RNAcentral